This 1353-nucleotide long non-coding RNA is filed under the name Mustela putorius furo (domestic ferret). RNAcentral describes it as "lncRNA (ENSMPUG00000023976.1)". The record is from RNAcentral. Lineage: Eukaryota; Metazoa; Chordata; Mammalia; Carnivora; Mustelidae.
CAUCCAGCACACGGAUGACUUAACCCUUCCUGUGUGGAGACAUUUCCCUUCACCAUUUUUAUGCCUGUGUUUGCCCAAGAUUUACCGCAUGCUUAUUCCUUCUAAGCUUUACUUCCUGAUAUGUAAACAUCUAGUUUGGGGAAGUCUGAGAAAAAUCCUUUUCUCUUUUUGGAAAUCUACCUCUCAAGACUAUCCAGUGUGGGCUUUAAAGUCUAGAUUGAAACUCGGAACCGAGCUGUGAAACUGCCUUCCCUUUUCUUUUUUCCAGAAAUUCGCUGCAUUCCUCAGUGCUCAUCAUGCAGAGGACCUCUUUCUGCACUGAUGCAUGGUUUGAAGAAUCAUGGUGGGAAAUCCUUCAGCCUGAAGAAAGGCAGAAGAAGUUUGAGCAACACCCACCCAGAAGGCUUUUCUCCCCACCUUGGGAUGUCAGCAGGUUGGAAGGAAACCAAGGAUAUUAUUAGCCUCCAAAGUUAAGUGGAGGGUUAUCUGAUCCUCGAAGCCAGUGGUCUUUAACCUGAAGCAUCUAUACCUCUGAGGAUUUAUAAAUAUUUUCCCAAAAGAUACAUAAACUAAUUUGGUUUUGGAUCAUCAAUUACCAUAUGAAUUCUUCUAAUAUUUUUUUAACUGAGAAGUCUCCUGGAAUUUCUCCUUUUUAUGUCAUAGUCUCCUGUUUCCCAUGAAAAGUGAAAAAAAAAAAUCUUUUGCCCAUUGAGAAUCUUAUUAUGGUGUAUUGCACUCACAUGAAAAACUUCCAGGGCACCAAAUAAAAGGAUAAUCAAAACAUUAAAAAUAUUUUAUUAUGCUAGAUGAUUGUGUGAUAAUUCAGUUGUAAUAAUAACUUGAGUAACAAUGGUUAAAAAUGAAGCUUCCAUUUCUAUAUACUUAUUUCUGUGGACAAAUUGUCUAAGCAUUUAAUAUCUAUAAAGAUGGAUAAACAAACAAAAGGAAUAGAAUUGAUACCAAAUCCUUUUUCUUUCAUGUAAUUAGUGAUAAUCAUCCCCAGAAACAUAAACAGCUUCAUGGAUAUAUCUCAUUAAAAAAUACAUUUCCAAUAUAAUUCUAUUAUUUCUGCUUAAUAAAUAUUUAUCAAAAUUUGUAAUGUAUCCAUCUUGUUUUAAUGCAUAGCUUAGUAAUAAUAAAAAUGAUAUCUCCAUAUAGAAGAAAUACUUUUUAAUACUUAGAACCGUAUAGCCCUAGGAAUUACAAACAAAAUUUAAAAGUCAAUUUAUGUACAUAUUUUUGUAGUGGAUAAAUAUGAUCAAUAAAUGAUUUUCAAGUGUCAAAGUAUAUUACAUGAGCUUAAAGUUCUGUGGGGGAAGUGAAAUGAAACUAUUAGUUCUCAGAGAAAAAGAA